This 104-nucleotide ribosomal RNA is filed under the name uncultured bacterium. Its description in RNAcentral is "partial 16S ribosomal RNA". It matches the Rfam family "Bacterial small subunit ribosomal RNA", at positions 1367 to 1482 of the family's 1533-position model. The record is from RNAcentral.
UACGUUCCCGGGUCUUGUACACACCGCCCGUCACACCAUGGGAGUUGGUUCUGCCUGAAGUCGUCCCUGAAAAGGCGCCCACGGCAGGGUCAAUGACUGGGGUG